AAUUCCAGCUCCUCGAGUGGUUAGGGCGUUUAUUGGGCCUAAAGCAUCCGUAGCGGCUCUGUAGGUCCUCUGUAAAAUCCAACGGCUCAACCGUUGAUCAGCGGAGGAUACCGCAAAGCUAGGAGGCGGGAGAGGCGGACGGUACUCCGUGGGUAGGGGUAAAAUCCUUUGAUCCACGGAAGACCACCAGUGGCGAAGGCGGUCCGCUAGAACGCGCUCGACGGUGAGGGAUGAAAGCUGGGGGAGCGAACCGGAUUAGAUACCCGGGUAGUCCCAGCCGUAAACUAUGCGAGCUAGGUGACGGAGUGGCCACGAGCCAUUCCGGUGCCGCAGGGAAGCCGUUAAGCUCGCCGCCUGGGGAGUACGGUCGCAAGACUGAAACUUAAAGGAAUAGGCGGGGGAGCACCACAAGGGGUGAAGCCUGCGGUUCAAUUGGAGUCAACGCCGGGAAUCUUACCAGGAGAGACAGCAGGGUGAAGGUCAGGCUGAAGACUUUACCUGACAAGCUGAGAGGAGGUGCAUGGCCGUCGCCAGCUCGUGCCGUGAGGCGUCCUGUUAAGUCAGGCAACGAUCGAGACCCCUACUAUUAAUUGCUAACAUUGACCGCAAGGUUGGUGAGGCUAGUUAGUAGGACUGCCGCCGCUAAGGCGGAGGAAGGAGGGGGCAACGGCAGGUCAGUAUGCCCCGAAACUCUUGGGCCACACGCGGGCUGCAAUGGUAGGUACAAUGGGAUCCAAACCCGAAAGGAUGAGGUAAUCCUGAAAGCCUACCCCAGUUGUGAUUGAGGGCUGUAACUCGCCCUCAUGAAUCUGGAAUCCCUAGUAAUCGCGUGUCAACACCGCGCGGUGAAUACGUCCCUGCUCCUUGCACACACCGCCCGUCGCUUCACCCGAGUUGGGUGUGGGCGAGGUGACGCCUAGUUGACGUCAUCGAACCCGUGCUCAGCAAGGGGGGAGAAGUCGUAACAAGGUAACC
RNAcentral lists this ribosomal RNA (975 nucleotides) under uncultured crenarchaeote. RNAcentral describes it as "bacterial SSU rRNA". It matches the Rfam family "Archaeal small subunit ribosomal RNA", at positions 472 to 1448 of the family's 1478-position model. The record is from RNAcentral. Lineage: Archaea; Thermoproteati; Thermoproteota.